AGAGUGAACGCUGGCGGCAGGCCUAAUACAUGCAAGUCGAACGGCAGCACGGCAGAGCUUGCUCUGUGGGUGGCGAGUGGCGGACGGGUGAGGAAUACAUGGGAAUCUGCCCAGUCGUGGGGGAUAACGUAGGGAAACUUACGCUAAUACCGCAUGCGCCCUUCGGGGGAAAGCCGGGGACCUUCGGGCCUGGCGCGAUUGGAUGAGCCCAUGUCGGAUUAGCUAGUUGGCGGGGUAACGGCCCACCAAGGCGACGAUCCGUAGCUGGUCUGAGAGGAUGAUCAGCCACACUGGAACUGAGACACGGUCAGACUCCUACGGGAGCAGCAGUAGGAAUAUUGGACAAUGGGGCACAAGCCUGAUCCAGCCAUCGCCGCGGUGAGU
RNAcentral lists this ribosomal RNA (384 nucleotides) under uncultured soil bacterium. RNAcentral describes it as "bacterial SSU rRNA". It matches the Rfam family "Bacterial small subunit ribosomal RNA", at positions 26 to 407 of the family's 1533-position model. The record is from RNAcentral.